GUAGACGGUGUGUGCGUUCCUCUCGCUCACUGAGUCGCCCAUCGCCUCGAACAUGCAGUCUUUGUGAGUGUGCAUCUCCGUCAUCGGCACGUCGACGCUGUGGGAGUUGUUGUGAGGAGUCUGCGUACCGUAAGACGGAACCGGCUGGAGGGGAAACAGACGGAUCAUUAGCAGGCCCACAGAGGGGGCGGGGCUUGACAGAGACUCAGUAGGAUCAUGAUGAGGGUCUGAGCUCUAAUCUGGUGAACACACUCUGCUGUGAUCCGAUGAAACCAGCGGGCCUGAUGAAGAACUGCUCACAGAGGUGAGCGAUGAUUCCAGCUGCCAGAGCGUCGCCCAGGACGUUGAUCAUGGUCCGAAACCUGUCGCUGCAGAGACGGAGAGGCCGAGGAGACACUGAUCCAGUCGAUGGCCACGAUGAGCGUGAUGUCAUCUGGCGGCAGGCCCACUGAUGUCAGUACGAUCACCAUGGUAACCAGACCGGCCUGAGGAAUCCCUGCUGCACCGAUGCUAGCAGCUGUAGCUGUGAUGCUGCAAGACAGAGAAACACGCAUGAGGACGACAGAAGAAGAAGCAGAGUUUACUGGGCCGCUAUCUAGCUGCUCCUUUUCUUCUGUUGGUGAC
This is a long non-coding RNA of Acanthopagrus latus (yellowfin seabream), 624 nucleotides long. RefSeq lists it as uncharacterized. The transcript has 4 exons. NCBI's taxonomy places the organism in Eukaryota, Metazoa, Chordata, Actinopteri, Spariformes, Sparidae. The record is from RefSeq and is a predicted model, not a curated record.